Molecule: long non-coding RNA, 508 nt
Organism: Syzygium oleosum
Lineage: Eukaryota; Viridiplantae; Streptophyta; Magnoliopsida; Myrtales; Myrtaceae
Exons: 3
Source: RefSeq, a predicted model, not a curated record
AAGAAAGAAGAGGGUACGUGAAAAAAGGGCAAAGAAGGGAAAAGGAAGGGGGAAGAAAUGGCGCCCAAGACUAUUGCUUCGUCUCCUUGGCUCGGGAAAUUUUUGCGCGUUUUCAUGGUUCUGGUCCUUCAUUUCAUAAUCCUCGCUGCCGUCCCCAAUGGCCGAUGCGGGCGUGGACUACCGGAUCCAAGCAACCCGCAGCCUUCCCCUGGAUGUAAAUGAGGUACUUACAUGACAAAGUGAUCGACUUCUUGUAUCUUGCUUCAAGAGAAAAGUGGAAGGCCCUGAACUUGAUUGUAAUGUUAUAUUUUGUUAAGUAGUCUCUGAAUUACAUAUCUUUAAGUAGUCUCUGUGUCUUCAGGCAACUCUUGGUCCGGUUUUAGUUGUAGGUUGAAAUAAGAUAGUCACAAGCGUGUAUCUUUCUUCAUUAUUAGUGUCCAAAGCUUGUAUUCAUUACAACUUUAGACUUGCUUGAUAGAUCGAUUAUAGUUUCGAUUGACACAGCUCU